AAGGAUUUUGCUUAUGAUGGAGAGAAGAGUUUAUUCACUGUUGGUCCUCUCCCGCGGAAUAAACUUGAAUUUACUGUUGUUCUUGAGGAUAUCACGUCAAACAGGAACAAUGGUAACUGUAGUCCUGAUGGUCAUGGAAGUCCCAAUAAUGGAGACCGAAAAAGGAUGAAACGACCGUACCGUUCAAAAUCAUUUAAGGUAGAAAUUAGCUUUGCAGCUAAGAUACCAAUGCAGGCUAUAGCAAGUGCUUUACGUGGUCA
This 260-nucleotide unclassified non-coding RNA is filed under the name Hevea brasiliensis (rubber tree). The record is from RNAcentral. Lineage: Eukaryota; Viridiplantae; Streptophyta; Magnoliopsida; Malpighiales; Euphorbiaceae.